Molecule: ribosomal RNA, 110 nt
Filed under: bovine gut metagenome
Source: RNAcentral
GGUAGCGAUAGCGUCGAGGAUCCACCUGUUCCCAUCCCGAACACAGAAGUUAAGCUCGACUACGCCGGAAGUACUUUGCUGGCAACGGCACGGGAGAUAUGGUAGCCGCC